Sapajus apella (tufted capuchin) is the source of this 5274-nucleotide long non-coding RNA. RefSeq lists it as uncharacterized. Lineage: Eukaryota; Metazoa; Chordata; Mammalia; Primates; Cebidae. The transcript has 2 exons. The record is from RefSeq and is a predicted model, not a curated record.
CCGUGGUGACGUUGAGGCGCGUGCUGGGUGUCGCUUGUCCUCCCGUGGUCGCGUUGAGGCGCGUGCUGGGUGUCGCUUGUCCUCCUGUGGUCGCGUUGCUCUCCCUCCACUGGCGCACAGUCUUGGUGGUGGAGUGAGAGUGUCUUCCAUGGGUGGGGCCAUGGCACUGGAGGGUUGUGUAUCGAGCGCCUCGUUUCCCGUGAAUGUGCUGGUUCUGGUGACCAGGGUGGAGCCUCCCUGCCCCUUCCUUCCAUCCAGCAGCAGGUUCCCGGUUUCGUCCCUGCCAGGCAGGCAUGCAUAUUCAGAGUGUUUGGGUACCUGCAGCUAUUGAUCACGGCUGGAGGUAGCUCCGGACUCACGCGUGGAGGAGUGAUUUUCCCGAGGUGAUGUGGUAUUGGUCAGAAUUCUUGGGUACAGAUUGGCCGCAGUGAGUGAUCAGGUUGUCGUGAGCUCCUGGCUCCAUCUGGGAUUUGCUGUCUCCGUCCACCCUAUUCGGGUGGUUCCUGGCCGCACUGCCUCCUGAAGGCAGCCUCUCUAGCACUCACUGGCAUGUUGGCCUUCUCGAGGGGAAGGGGUUGCCUGUUAGUGUGUGCCAGAGACUCAGCACCAUGGGCAGACUCAGCGCCAUGGGCAGCCAUAUCCAGGGAGGGCGAGGGCGCUCCCCAGAAACCUCCUGGGCCUCUGUGGGUGUCAUCAGGGUAGUGAGCAGGAAGCCUGGGGGCUGAGCCGGGCUGCCUGGCUUUGACCCGGGCCUGUCCCGGGCUGGCACAGUGGCCCCGUGAGGGUUGCUGAGCCUCUCUGUGCCCCGCCUCUUGGUGAGGCAGGAGCGAUGGCAGUGCCCACUGCAUGGUGGUGAGAGAGGCAAUGGAACGCACGUGUCCAGGACAGAGGCUGCCCCGACCUGUGCUCUGCGGGUCACUCACGCAUCAUCUGCCGGGCGGGGGUGGAGGAGCCUCCAGAGCUCUUUGACACGCAUUUCCACACGAGACCUACACAUCAGCCACGUGGGCAGGGCCCGCUCCAGUUUAGCUGUUUUGCGGAGGAGAAAAUUGAGGUUGGGUUUUGUUCCUGACUCUCCCAGGUUGAAUGGCUGGUGCAUCAUGGAUGUGGGGGUGAGCCUUAAGUUUCCCAUCUCUGAGCGGGACCUGGGCUCUCUCCACCAUAACAGUGGCCCCUGUUACAGAGGGGCAGGUGGGUGACUCACCUGUGGGCACACCUGCGUCGCUUCUCUCUGGCUCACCUCCAGCGUGGGAGUGCUGGGGAUGCCUGCCAGCCACCUAGAGCCGGCGUCUUCCUCAGCAGCUGUUCUAAAGGAAGCAGAGUGGGACGACCUUGGGCUUCCUGGUCUCUGCACACUACCCGGGAUUCCAGAAUAUUCGUGAGAAGAAGCCAGUGGAGUGGUGUGACUUUUGUAUUUAUAGACUUCUUCCAAAGGUCACCUCUUUUAUUUCUGAAAAUCAAGUCACUUGAGGCCCAUCCCUACAGAGUGUCUGGAGCUCAGGGUGCACAGGCACCCAGGCCAGGGAGGAGAUGGGGCGGCUGGGGCUGGCGGGCCCCUUUCGCCCUGUGUGGGCUCGUGGCUGGCUUUUCUGCCUGGUGAGCUGGUUUCUAUCUGCCCCAGACCCAUUUUUCUGUGAAGAGUUUGCAGAGGAUGCCGGUUACAUCUUAGAUGAAAACUGGCCCUGUUUCCACGGUUUCCAAGUGUGCGGCUCUCAGCCAAGGCAGUACCCGGUGAGUGGCCUCAUUCUUGUGAGUCCCCGCAGGGCAGGAUAGAUGUUUCAGGUAAGGUUGCAACGUGGAGUUCCGGCUUCCUCUCCCUUUGACGUUUCAGAGACUCGGGGCUCCAUUUAAACAGACAAGAUGAGUGGAAGCUUGUGUUUUGUUGUUUUUUCACUAAGAGGUUUUGGAGGGGAGGAAAGCAGCCUUACAAUGAUAGCAUCAGGAAAAGAUCACACAGAACGGCAUCUUAUUAUGAAAUACUGAAAACAUUUAAAGAGCAAAUAAAAUAUGCAAAUGGAAUGGGACAGAAUUCGCACCGCAUGGCUCUUGCCCUCUCUUUCCUAAUAAAAAUUUAACUCUGAGGUCCGCGUUGGGACAUAGCGGUGCUGGGAUAAUGGAGCUUCCGUGAGUUCAGAGUGAAAAGCAUAUUGAUCAAAAAAAGCAGAAUUCUGACGUAGAUUCAUCCACAGCCUUUUCUUGGGUGACUCCUCUGUGCCCAGAGGCAGGGGCUCACUGUGUCCCGAAUGGCCUCUGCUUAGUGGCUGUGGCCUCCCGGGGCAAGGCCAGCUGGCGUGGAGGAGCCUGGAGUGCUGCGGUGGGUGCUAAAGUGACACAGGAAUGUUCUCUUGGCCCGUUUGCCAGACUCCCAGAGGGGCGCCUUGUCUACUCAGCCCGCUGUGUUCCGCUCUCAGCAGGCAGGAGCAUGUGAGUGAGCAGGUAUGAGACCCAGCCAGCCUGUCCAAGCAGCGACACAGGAGCAAGCUUCCUGCGGGGCCCACAGCCAGACCAGAUGUAUCGCCUUGAGGGAAACACAGUGGCACCCAGACUCAGGUGCCUAUGACCCUGAAGCCCCAGGGGGGUGUUAGUGUGCUAAUUAGCUCUUUUAGUUCUGCCAUCCACAGUCCAACACAGGGUGGCACGUGAGCAGCUCAGUUGGCCCCUGGCCCCAUCAUGUAGGGCGGCUGCCCUCUGCUGGCGAGGGCAAAGAGCCGGUGUGACAGCCUUUCUGGGUACCUGUACUUGGCGGGUCCCGAGCUCUUGUCCAGCAUCCAGGAAGAAUGAGGAUGUGCCUACAACCAAGCCGCGAGCAGGAGGAGUUUUGUUGAGUGAUGAAAGAGCUUUCUGCAGAGAGGGGACAUGGGGCAUGCAGGUGCUCCCCCCACCAGAAGGUGGGAAAGUCCCUCCAAUGUGUCUGACUCCAGGGCUUUUGUGGGCUCAGAAUAGGGGAGGGGCAGGCUGUAGGCAGUAUUGGAAAAGGCAACAUUUGAUUGGUUCAAAGGCAUUAUUCAGAAGGAAUCAAUGGGAAAGGAUGGGCAGACAGGAACAGAAGUUUCACUCUGGGUUGUGGGUUUUAUCCGGGACCAACAGUCUGAGUCUUUCAGCCUUCAGGCUGUUAUUUGUCUUAGAGGCAGGCUUCCAUCAGGCACCUGCCCCUGCCUGCCUAGGCAUUUGGCUUCCUCCCAUCACUAUCAGAAUCACCCUGUGAGCCCCAGGGAGUCCAUGAGGACCUCCAUGUAAGGGGGGGGGUGACGGGGAAGGCACAGGUGGGACUGCACAGCCACGUCAGGGAUGCAGGAAAGUCCGGGCCAAGAGCCACCUUGUUUAGGGACACGGAAUCAUGAGAGCUUGGCCACAUAGGGACCGUGGUGAGGACACCGGGUUGAGCAGAGGGCACGUGGGUGGGGCAGGGCGGGGAGGCUGUUGACCCAUCCACGGAGGGUUUGUCUCAGAGUUCGAUGGCCUGACUGCUGUGUAUUAAGGAAGAAGGCUCUGACAGAAUGGGGGGACUUGGAGAGGGAUCGGUUUGGAGGCCUGAAGGUGGUUGGGGUGUUUGACCCCCGUGAAGGCAGAGGUGGUACAGUGAUGUCCCAGGGACACAUCUGGGACCCACUGGGCACUGGGGAGAUGGCAGGAGCAGGAGCGGAGGGUCGUGCCUCGGUUUCUGCUGGCUGAGUUCGGUGUCUGAGUUUCUGCUGGCUGGUUUGGUGGUGCAGUGAGUAGACAAGGAUCUCAGAAGGGUGGGUGCGGGGCAAGGUUGGGAAUUUGACCAUGGAUUUCUCUUGAAGGUGCCGUGCUGGGGAAACGGUGUUGUGCAAGAAGGAGGGCGAGGAACGGAGGCAGCUGAGGGUCCACGGAGGAGGACGGGCCACAGGAAGAGGACAGGCUGAGUGAGCCGGGGGGAAGGCCUCGUGAGGCCAGUGCAGGCACGCCGGUGUGGAGGGGCUGCCAACUCCCUCUGGGCCUCCUGUAGGAGCCAUCUAGGUACAGCAACCACGUGGGGAAUAGCAUGAAAAAUGACGAGGCAGAGCAGAGAAAGACACCAGCCCCUCAUUCCCGAGGUUUCUGCACCGUUGUCACCAGCAUGCAGUCCUGGCCAGCUCCACGGGGGCCAUUCUGGCCAUUGGUCCACAGGGUCCUCCAGCAAAGGAAACAGAGCAGGAAGCGGAAAGAGCUGACGUCCCGUGGGGGCACCUUCCACCCUAGGCCGGCAGCGGCUCAGCCUUCUCAGCCUCGUCACCGUUUAAGCUCCUCCUUUUUCUUCUUUUCUCCUUAAUCUUUGCAUUUAGAAAGAUUCCUAUCAACAGUUUCCAGGGUCCUGCCAAAUGUGCCAUCACCAUUUAGCAUCCUCCCUAUUUUUUCUUUUCUUCUUCAUCUUUACAUUGGAAACGUCUUACAGAUGGUGUCCAGGGCCCUGCUGGAUGUGCCCCUGCUUCUCCACAGUCUUGUCUGGAACAAAGGAAAUGUCUUUUAUUGCUGUUCAUGCAGCUGUCAUCCUUGAAAGACAAGUCUCUUCUGCCAGUCACCAAGUCAGUCCUUUUCCUUCUGUCUUGCUCACGGAAGGCUCUCCUGGCCCUCAAGUGAGCAGCGGUGCGGCUCUUCAGGUGGUAGCACCCAUCCUGUUCCUGUGGGAACCCAGGCGAGCCUGCUGGCCAGGAAGCGUCAGCUUGUGUCUGAUUGCUAGGCCGCCCUGGGUGCUUCCUGGAUGUUCAGGCGCCUGUGAUUCCUGCAGCAUCUGCCUCAAGCUUAUGUGUAUGGAGCAGCAGAUCCCUUUGUCGGGGCAGUAGACUGUCUGCUAAGGAAAGUGGUGUUGCAGCAAAGGCCUUGCUUCACUGCUGUACUCCAAGCCAUCAAAACGGGUUUUUUUUUUAAAAUGCUCUCAAAAUGAAAAUAGAGACCCCAAACUCUUGAUAAAACAGCUCUCUAUGGAGAAGCUCCCCAGGCUAUGUAAACUCUAAUAGGAAGUGUUUAUUCAUCAUUUGUACAUGCACAAAUAUUUAUUGAAUGUCAGUUGUGAAGGCUGAUGAGUAAACCAGCAGGGGGAGUCCAGUACCCCGGUGCACUGAUGGGGAGCUAGCUAGAGGUGCUGUGCAGCCUUUGCCAUGGCUUCCUGUCCGGUGUCUGGAGGAGCAUCCUUGCAACAUAAAAGACAAGGGACAUUUAACAUGAUACUUGAAGGAUGAAUAGAAAAUGACCAGGCAAGACUUGGAAUUGGACAUGGAGAAAAGGCAAGAAGAAGGUUCUGGGCAGAAGGUUGGAAGGUGGGUUAGAACAUAA